UGCCUGUUUACCAAAAACAUCACCUCCAGCAUUCCCAGUAUUGGAGGCACUGCCUGCCCGGUGACAUUAGUUAAACGGCCGCGGUAUUCUGACCGUGCAAAGGUAGCAUAAUCAUUUGUUCUCUAAAUAAGGACUUGUAUGAAAGGCCACACGAGGAUUUAACUGUCUCUUACUUCCAAUCAGUGAAAUUGACCUUCCCGG
Molecule: ribosomal RNA, 201 nt
Filed under: Helarctos malayanus (Malayan sun bear)
Lineage: Eukaryota; Metazoa; Chordata; Mammalia; Carnivora; Ursidae
Description: partial 16S ribosomal RNA
Rfam family: Bacterial large subunit ribosomal RNA
Source: RNAcentral